RNAcentral lists this small RNA (16 nucleotides) under Arabidopsis thaliana (thale cress). RNAcentral describes it as "ATSL055150". Lineage: Eukaryota; Viridiplantae; Streptophyta; Magnoliopsida; Brassicales; Brassicaceae. The record is from RNAcentral.
UUGAGUCAUGUCGUUA